AAAACCGACAACUCUCUUGGCUUGGGUGAUGAGUCCAUCCUACUAGGAACACCCCUUUUGGUGCUGCUGGCUCAGAACAACAACAACAUCCAGCCCCACAGGCAGCGGGUCCUCGAAGCAGCCGAACAGGGGGCUCUGUCCGAGGCGGGGGAGGCUUCCAGCCGGCUCCGCUCCCUCCUGCCGGGCUCACAUUCCCCCCGGAGCCCCCCCGGAAAAACCAGCUCCGAGCUGGUGCCCCCGCCGCCUCCAAAAGUGGUAUUUGCAGCGGUUCUCCCCCGUUCUCCGCCGGGAAGCGACAGGCGGGCAGGGGGCUCCCGGCAGCUCCUGCACCCCCCGCACCGGGCCGGGAGGGAGCCGGGCACAGCAGAGACCCGCCGCCGCCGCGAUGGGCUCCGUCCUUACCUGGCCAGGGUGGUCUUCCCGGAGCCAGGCAGCCCCCGCAGCAGCACCAACCUCCCGCUGAAGCGUGGCGGCGGGGGCUGCAGGCGAAGCCCCCCCAGGGCCCGGAGCAGCUGCUCGUCCAUCCCCCGGCCCUACCCGGGAGGCGGCACCGGCCCGGCCCGGCCCGGCCCGCAGCGGCGGGGGAGGAGGCGGGGGCCCCGGGGCGGCCGCUCCGGAGCCCGGCCCCCGGCCCGGGGAGGCGGCGGGACGCGGGGGUCCCUCCCCCGGACCCCCCCUCGGUGCGGCCGGGCCCGGGAGCGGGUGGAAACCGGCGUCCCGGAGGGAAGGGGGGGGUUUGGGAUCGUCGGUCUCCGAGACUCUGCCCCCAUGAAAACGAAAGCGGCCUUAGGGGGAAAUAAGGAGGAGAAAAAGGACAUUCGCGGCUCGUACGGCAAAACCGCCCGGCUACGGGACCAGCUUCCCACCCUCAACCUCAGCCCCGGGUCCCAUCUUUAGUUAUCUAAAAGCAAGAUUAAUCUCCAAAGUCUCAAAGGCGGGAGAACACAGGCCGGUGCGGAGAAUGUCCCGUCCCGGGUGGGCUCUGAGCUGCGGGGCACCCCAAAAAGGGAAUCAUCAAAGCACCUGGGAGGAGUGAAGCUAGUUACAGCACCCCAGGUACAGGCUCAUCUUUCUUCGUUUUUUUCUUAUUUUU
RNAcentral lists this long non-coding RNA (1093 nucleotides) under Calidris pugnax (ruff). RNAcentral describes it as "lncRNA (ENSCPUG00000013249.1)". Lineage: Eukaryota; Metazoa; Chordata; Aves; Charadriiformes; Scolopacidae. The record is from RNAcentral.